RNAcentral lists this ribosomal RNA (253 nucleotides) under uncultured bacterium. RNAcentral describes it as "partial 16S ribosomal RNA". It matches the Rfam family "Bacterial small subunit ribosomal RNA", at positions 524 to 776 of the family's 1533-position model. The record is from RNAcentral.
UACGUAGGGGGCAAGCGUUGUCCGGAUUUAUUGGGCGUAAAGAGCGUGUAGGCGGCCUGAAAGGUCCGCUGUGAAAACUCGAGGCUCAACCUCGAGACGCCGGUGGAAACCAUCAGGCUAGAGUCCGGAAGAGGAGAGUGGAAUUCCUGGUGUAGCGGUGAAAUGCGCAGAUAUCAGGAAGAACACCCGUGGCUAAGGCGGCUCUCUAGUACGGUACUGACGCUGAGACGCGAAAGCGUGGGGAGCGAACAGG